AGCUAUCAUCCUUUUCAAGCAUAUUUAAUCCUUUUUUAUCUUCAGCUUUUGCCCAUGGAUUCAUUAGUGAGGUGAAUAUCUUUUCCACUUAUUAGUGUUUUGUAGUUUGGUUUUAUUUUACAUAGUAUUGAUGCUGAAUCUUUUUAGCAAAAUUAUUGGUUGUUUGGUUGAAUCUGUUUUUGUGCUUUUAACAGCUGUUCCAGGUGUGUUUUUCCUAUUUCCUUCAGAUGGGAGGUNNNNNNNNNNNUGUUUUGGUUUUUUGGUUUUUUUUUUUUUUUAUAAUUUUUGUGGUUUUGUGUUACUUAUUGGGAUUUAAAGUUGUAUACUAUGUUUUAUGCUGUGUUGUAUAUACCAUGAAGAUUGCAAUUUAUUUAUUUUUUAGUUUUCAAUUUUCGCAGAAUUUUCCGAGAGAUUAUUCGAGGAAUUGUUUGUUGAGAUCUGAUAAUACUAUAUAUAUGUUGGAAAUGUCUUCUGGAAGAGUUUAUAAAUCUGCAAUUUUGACUUCUUCAAAGAACGAAGAGGACAGAUUUAUUUAUUCGGGUUGGAAGAGAUUCGUGAAAGAAAAUAGACUGAGUUACAAAGACAAGGUUAUUUUUUAUGCUAGAAAUGGAGAUAAUCGUUUGGAAGUGCAGAUUAUACGUCGACCAAUUUCAUUCGGUAUUCCUGAUUGAAUGUAUUAAUGUUUAAAAUUUCAAUUUUUCUGUUGGUUUUCAUUAAUAAUUGUGUAAUAUUAAAAACUAUUUAAUUAUAUUGUUGUGUUUUUAAUUUCAAUUGUAUGUUUUUUUUCUUUGGUGGUUUGUUAUUGCUGAUUGAAUAUUUGUUUAAUAUGUAUUUAGAAUUAAAUUCUGAUUUAGAUUAUAGUCUGUUGUAUUUGUUAUUUAUUUUAAAACUUAUUAUCUUAAAAUUUCAAAUUAUAA
RNAcentral lists this long non-coding RNA (917 nucleotides) under Trifolium pratense (red clover). Its description in RNAcentral is "long non-coding RNA (TPRA_LNC005065)". Lineage: Eukaryota; Viridiplantae; Streptophyta; Magnoliopsida; Fabales; Fabaceae. The record is from RNAcentral.